Long non-coding RNA from Orbicella faveolata, 714 nucleotides. The record is from RefSeq and is a predicted model, not a curated record. NCBI's taxonomy places the organism in Eukaryota, Metazoa, Cnidaria, Anthozoa, Scleractinia, Merulinidae.
GCGACUGGUUCUUCAGGCAACAGCACCAGCACAAACACAGUUCCUUCCCUGCUCAAAGAACUUCACGGUCUUGUGCUGCAAAUUCAGGGCUCGUCACAGAGGAGGAUUUCGUGACAAGUCCAAAGAGCAUCUGGGUAGGAGACUAGACCCACAUGCACGUGCACUCCAUCUAUCUGUCAUUUGUUCGAGAUAUUUUACUUCAUCUGUCACCGAGAUACUAUAGCAGGCAAAGUGGAUGUAGGACAUUUUCAGAGAGGAGACAACUUUGUCAAACUGACAGAGAUGUUGUACGAGACAUUUCUUAGAUAUCAAAAUGAAGUGGAAGAUUUUCUGCCAGACAAAGGAAGUUGCGAGGAGACCAGCAACCUUGACUCCGAAGAUGAAAGCCAAGCAGACGGUGGUCUUUGGCAGAGUGCCCUUGUGUACAUCAUCUGGAAGGAGUGUUAUUCGCCCAGACCGUUUGAACCUCUGAGUAGAGCUUUUGAAAUGAUAGACAGCCCUAAAAUAUAUACUAUUAUUACUCCAUUGCUGUUGUGUCUUCAGUGACUUCAGUGGAUGUUUUAGUAUUCUCUACAUUGCUAUCAUGUCAAAUUUGAUACAAGGCAUUCACUUUUAACCGGUAGUGUCACAUCAAUUUGUUAUUUUAUUGGGGUCAUUACUAGUCUAGCCAUGGAUCAAGGUUGAAUAAACUGCACCUACAAAAACUGAAAGUCA